GGUUAAGCUAUUAAGGGCGCACGGAGGAUGCCUAGGCGCCAGGAGCCUAAGAAGGACGCGGCGAACAGCGAAAUUGCCUCGGGGAGCCGUAAGCAGGCUUUGAUCCGGGGAUGUCCGAAUGGGGAAACCCGGCUGGGGUCAUGCCCAGUCACCUAUGAGUGAAUACAUAGCUCAUAAGGAGGCACACCCAGGGAACUGAAACAUCUAAGUACCUGGAGGAGAAGAAAACAAGAGUGAUUCCGUCAGUAGCGGCGAGCGAAAGCGGAUUAGCCCAAACCUGAGAGCUUGCUCUCAGGGGUUGUGGGACGUCUCACAUGGAGUUACAAAGGAGCAGGUUAGGCGAAGAGGUCUGGAAAGGCCCGGCAUAGAAGGUAAAAGCCCUGUAGCCAAAAAUCUGUUCCCUCCGAGACGGAUCCCGAGUACCGCGGGACACGAGAAACCCCGUGGGAAUCCGGCAGGACCAUCUGCCAAGGCUAAAUACUCCCUGGCGACCGAUAGUGAAGCAGUACCGUGAGGGAAAGGUGAAAAGCACCGCGGGAGCGGAGUGAAAAAGAACCUGAAACCGUGCGCUUACAAGAAGUCAGAGCCCGAUCUAGGGGUGAUGGCGUGCCUUUUGUAGAAUGAACCGGCGAGUUACGUUUACGUGCGAGGUUAAGUCGGAGAGACGGAGCCGCAGCGAAAGCGAGUCUGAAUAGGGCGCUUUAGUACGUAGUCGUAGACCCGAAACCGGGUGAUCUACCCCUGUGCAGGGUGAAGGUGAGGUAACACUUACUGGAGGCCCGAACUCGUGAGCGUUGAAAAGCUCUGGGAUGACGUGGGGGUAGGGGAGAAAUUCCAAUCGAACUCGGAGAUAGCUGGUUCUCCCCGAAAUAGCUUUAGGGCUAGCCUCGAGAUUUAGCAUCAUGGAGGUAGAGCACUGAUUGGGUGCGGGGCCCGCCAAGGGUUACCAAGUCCAGUCAAACUCCGAAUGCCAUGGAUGUAUGCUCGGGAGUCAGACGGCGAGUGCUAAGAUCCGUCGUCAAGAGGGAAAGAGCCCAGAUCAUCAGCUAAGGUCCCCAAGUGUGUGUUAAGUGGGAAAGGAUGUGGAGUUGCGAAGACAACCAGGAUGUUGGCUUAGAAGCAGCCACCAUUUAAAGAGUGCGUAAUAGCUCACUGGUCGAGUGACUCUGCGCCGAAAAUGUAACGGGGCUAAACACACCACCGAAGCUAUGGCAUGUACCUUUUGGUACUUGGGUAGGGGAGCGUUGAAUGCGGGUUGAAGUCGGACCGAGAGGACCGGUGGACUGCAUUCAAGUGAGAAUGCCGGUAUGAGUAACGAAAAGACAGGUGAGAAUCCUGUCCGCCGAAAGCCUAAGGGUUCCUGAGGAAGGUUCGUCCGCUCAGGGUAAGUCGGGACCUAAGGCGAGGCCGAAAGGCGUAGUCGAAGGACAACAGGUUGAAAUUCCUGUACCACCGUAAUCCGUUAUGAGCGAUGGGGGGACGCAGGAGGGCAAGAACGCGAGCUGAUGGAAUAGCUCGUCCAAGCAGUGAGGGGUGUGUGUAGGCAAAUCCGCACACUAAUACCUUGAGCUGUGAUGGGGAGGGAAAAUUACAGUACCGAAGGUUCCGUGCUCACGCUGCCGAGAAAAGCCUCUAGCCAGGAGAAGGUGCCCGUACCGCAAACCGACACAGGUAGGCGAGAAGAGAAUUCUAAGGCGCGCGGAAGAACUCUCGUUAAGGAACUCGGCAAAAUGACCCCGUAACUUCGGGAGAAGGGGUGCCUCGGUAGGGUGAAUAGCCCGAGGGGGCCGCAGUGAAUAGGCCCAAGCGACUGUUUAGCAAAAACACAGGUCUGUGCGAAGCCGUAAGGCGAAGUAUACGGGCUGACGCCUGCCCGGUGCUGGAAGGUUAAGGGGAGCGGUUAGGGGCAACCCGAAGCUGUGAACCGAAGCCCCAGUAAACGGCGGCCGUAACUAUAACGGUCCUAAGGUAGCGAAAUUCCUUGUCAGGUAAAUUCUGACCCGCACGAAUGGCGUAACGACUUGGGCGCUGUCUCAACGAGAGAUCCGGUGAAAUUUUAGUACCUGUGAAGAUGCAGGUUACCCGCGACGUGACGGAAAGACCCCAUGGAGCUUUACUGUAGCUUGAUAUUGAACUUGGGUACGGUCUGUACAGGAUAGGUGGGAGCCUAAGAAGUUGGAGCGCAAGCUUCAAUGGAGGCGCCGUUGGGAUACCACCCUGAUCGUAUCUAGGUUCUAACCUGUCACCGUGAAUCCGGUGAAGGGACCGUGUCAGGCGGACAGUUUGACUGGGGCGGUCGCCUCCUAAAGCGUAACGGAGGCGCCCCAAGGUUCCCUCAGAAUGGUUGGAAAUCAUUCGAAGAGUGCAAAGGCAUAAGGGAGCUUGACUGCGAGACCUACAAGUCGAGCAGGGACGAAAGUCGGGCUUAGUGAUCCGGUGGUACCGAAUGGAAGGGCCAUCGCUCAACGGAUAAAAGCUACCCUGGGGAUAACAGGCUUAUCUCCCCCAAGAGUCCACAUCGACGGGGAGGUUUGGCACCUCGAUGUCGGCUCAUCGCAUCCUGGGGCUGAAGUAGGUCCCAAGGGUUGGGCUGUUCGCCCAUUAAAGCGGUACGCGAGCUGGGUUCAGAACGUCGUGAGACAGUUCGGUCCCUAUCUGUCGCGGGCGUAGGAAAUUUGAGAGGGGCUGUCCUUAGUACGAGAGGACCGGGAUGGACGCACCGCUGGUGUACCAGUUGUUCCGCCAGGAGCAUCGCUGGGUAGCCAAGUGCGGGAGGGAUAAGCGCUGAAAGCAUCUAAGCGCGAAGCCCGCCUCAAGAUGAGAUUUCCCAAUUAGUAAGACCCCUUGGAGAACACGAGGUUGAUAGGCUCGGGGUGGAAGCGCAGCAAUGCGUGCAGCUGACGAGUACUAAUCGGUCGAGGGCUUAUCCUA
This 2931-nucleotide ribosomal RNA is filed under the name Cohnella hashimotonis. RNAcentral describes it as "23S ribosomal RNA". It matches the Rfam family "Bacterial large subunit ribosomal RNA". The record is from RNAcentral. Lineage: Bacteria; Bacillati; Bacillota; Bacilli; Caryophanales; Paenibacillaceae.